This 1551-nucleotide ribosomal RNA is filed under the name Escherichia coli. RNAcentral describes it as "bacterial SSU rRNA". It matches the Rfam family "Bacterial small subunit ribosomal RNA". Lineage: Bacteria; Pseudomonadati; Pseudomonadota; Gammaproteobacteria; Enterobacterales; Enterobacteriaceae. The record is from RNAcentral.
AAAUUGAAGAGUUUGAUCAUGGCUCAGAUUGAACGCUGGCGGCAGGCCUAACACAUGCAAGUCGAACGGUAACAGGAAACAGCUUGCUGUUUCGCUGACGAGUGGCGGACGGGUGAGUAAUGUCUGGGAAACUGCCUGAUGGAGGGGGAUAACUACUGGAAACGGUAGCUAAUACCGCAUAACGUCGCAAGACCAAAGAGGGGGACCUUCGGGCCUCUUGCCAUCGGAUGUGCCCAGAUGGGAUUAGCUAGUAGGUGGGGUAACGGCUCACCUAGGCGACGAUCCCUAGCUGGUCUGAGAGGAUGACCAGCCACACUGGAACUGAGACACGGUCCAGACUCCUACGGGAGGCAGCAGUGGGGAAUAUUGCACAAUGGGCGCAAGCCUGAUGCAGCCAUGCCGCGUGUAUGAAGAAGGCCUUCGGGUUGUAAAGUACUUUCAGCGGGGAGGAAGGGAGUAAAGUUAAUACCUUUGCUCAUUGACGUUACCCGCAGAAGAAGCACCGGCUAACUCCGUGCCAGCAGCCGCGGUAAUACGGAGGGUGCAAGCGUUAAUCGGAAUUACUGGGCGUAAAGCGCACGCAGGCGGUUUGUUAAGUCAGAUGUGAAAUCCCCGGGCUCAACCUGGGAACUGCAUCUGAUACUGGCAAGCUUGAGUCUCGUAGAGGGGGGUAGAAUUCCAGGUGUAGCGGUGAAAUGCGUAGAGAUCUGGAGGAAUACCGGUGGCGAAGGCGGCCCCGGACGAAGACUGACGCUCAGGUGCGAAAGCGUGGGGAGCAAACAGGAUUAGAUACCCUGGUAGUCCACGCCGUAAACGAUGUCGACUUGGAGGUUGUGCCCUUGAGGCGUGGCUUCCGGAGCUAACGCGUUAAGUCGACCGCCUGGGGAGUACGGCCGCAAGGUUAAAACUCAAAUGAAUUGACGGGGGCCCGCACAAGCGGUGGAGCAUGUGGUUUAAUUCGAUGCAACGCGAAGAACCUUACCUGGUCUUGACAUCCACGGAAGUUUUCAGAGAUGAGAAUGUGCCUUCGGGAACCGUGAGACAGGUGCUGCAUGGCUGUCGUCAGCUCGUGUUGUGAAAUGUUGGGUUAAGUCCCGCAACGAGCGCAACCCUUAUCCUUUGUUGCCAGCGGUCCGGCCGGGAACUCAAAGGAGACUGCCAGUGAUAAACUGGAGGAAGGUGGGGAUGACGUCAAGUCAUCAUGGCCCUUACGACCAGGGCUACACACGUGCUACAAUGGCGCAUACAAAGAGAAGCGACCCUCGCGAGAGCAAGCGGACCUCAUAAAGUGCGUCGUAGUCCGGAUUGAGUCUGCAACUCGACUCCAUGAAGUCGGAAUCGCUAGUAAUCGUGGAUCAGAAUGCCACGGUGAAUACGUUCCCGGCCUUGUACACACCGCCCGUCACACCAUGGGAGUGGGUUGCAAAAGAAGUAGGUAGCUUAACCUUCGGGAGGGCGCUUACCACUUUGUGAUUCAUGACUGGGGUGAAGUCGUAACAAGGUAACCGUAGGGGAACCUGCGGUUGGAUCACCUCCUUACCUUAAAGAAGC